GGGUUGUGAGGUUAAGCGACUAAGCGUACACGGUGGAUGCCCUGGCAGUCAGAGGCGAUGAAGGACGUGCUAAUCUGCGAAAAGCGUCGGUAAGGUGAUAUGAACCGUUAUAACCGGCGAUGUCCGAAUGGGGAAACCCAGUGCAAUUCGUUGCACUAUCGUUAACUGAAUACAUAGGUUAACGAGGCGAACCGGGGGAACUGAAACAUCUAAGUACCCCGAGGAAAAGAAAUCAACCGAGAUUCCCCCAGUAGCGGCGAGCGAACGGGGAGCAGCCCAGAGUCUGAAUCAGCUUGUGUGUUAGUGGAACGGUCUGGAAAGUCCGACGGUACAGGGUGAUAGUCCCGUACACCAAAAUGCACAGGUUGUGAACUCGAAGAGUAGGGCGGGACACGUGGUAUCCUGUCUGAAUAUGGGGGGACCAUCCUCCAAGGCUAAAUACUCCUGACUGACCGAUAGUGAACCAGUACCGUGAGGGAAAGGCGAAAAGAACCCCGGCGAGGGGAGUGAAAAAGAACCUGAAACCGUGUACGUACAAGCAGUGGGAGCACCUUCGGGUGUGACUGCGUACCUUUUGUAUAAUGGGUCAGCGACUUAUAUUCUGUAGCAAGGUUAACCGUAUAGGGGAGCCGCAGGGAAACCGAGUCUUAACUGGGCGUUAAGUUGCAGGGUAUAGACCCGAAACCCGGUGAUCUAGCCAUGGGCAGGUUGAAGGUUGGGUAACACUAACUGGAGGACCGAACCGACUAAUGUUGAAAAAUUAGCGGAUGACUUGUGGCUGGGGGUGAAAGGCCAAUCAAACCGGGAGAUAGCUGGUUCUCCCCGAAAGCUAUUUAGGUAGCGCCUCGUGAACUCAUCUUCGGGGGUAGAGCACUGUUUCGGCUAGGGGGUCAUCCCGACUUACCAACCCGAUGCAAACUACGAAUACCGAAGAAUGUUAUCACGGGAGACACACGGCGGGUGCUAACGUCCGUCGUGAAGAGGGAAACAACCCAGACCGCCAGCUAAGGUCCCAAAGUCAUGGUUAAGUGGGAAACGAUGUGGGAAGGCACAGACAGCCAGGAUGUUGGCUUAGAAGCAGCCAUCAUUUAAAGAAAGCGUAAUAGCUCACUGGUCGAGUCGGCCUGCGCGGAAGAUGUAACGGGGCUAAACCAUGCACCGAAGCUGCGGCAGCGACACUAUGUGUUGUUGGGUAGGGGAGCGUUCUGUAAGCCUGCGAAGGUGUGCUGUGAGGCAUGCUGGAGGUAUCAGAAGUGCGAAUGCUGACAUAAGUAACGAUAAAGCGGGUGAAAAGCCCGCUCGCCGGAAGACCAAGGGUUCCUGUCCAACGUUAAUCGGGGCAGGGUGAGUCGACCCCUAAGGCGAGGCCGAAAGGCGUAGUCGAUGGGAAACAGGUUAAUAUUCCUGUACUUGGUGUUACUGCGAAGGGGGGACGGAGAAGGCUAUGUUAGCCGGGCGACGGUUGUCCCGGUUUAAGCAUGUAGGCUGAUUGUCCAGGCAAAUCCGGAUAAUCAAGGCUGAGGUGUGAUGACGAGGCACUACGGUGCUGAAGUAACAAAUGCCCUGCUUCCAGGAAAAGCCUCUAAGCAUCAGGUAACAUUAAAUCGUACCCCAAACCGACACAAGUGGUCAGGUAGAGAAUACCAAGGCGCUUGAGAGAACUCGGGUGAAGGAACUAGGCAAAAUGGUGCCGUAACUUCGGGAGAAGGCACGCUGGUGUGUAGGUGAAGUCCCUGCGGAUGGAGCUGAGACCAGUCGAAGAUACCAGCUGGCUGCAACUGUUUAUUAAAAACACAGCACUGUGCAAACACGAAAGUGGACGUAUACGGUGUGACGCCUGCCCGGUGCCGGAAGGUUAAUUGAUGGGGUUAUCCGUAAGGAGAAGCUCUUGAUCGAAGCCCCGGUAAACGGCGGCCGUAACUAUAACGGUCCUAAGGUAGCGAAAUUCCUUGUCGGGUAAGUUCCGACCUGCACGAAUGGCGUAAUGAUGGCCAGGCUGUCUCCACCCGAGACUCAGUGAAAUUGAACUCGCUGUGAAGAUGCAGUGUACCCGCGGCAAGACGGAAAGACCCCGUGAACCUUUACUAUAGCUUGACACUGAACAUUGAGCCUUGAUGUGUAGGAUAGGUGGGAGGCUUUGAAGCGUGGACGCCAGUCUGCGUGGAGCCAACCUUGAAAUACCACCCUUUAAUGUUUGAUGUUCUAACGUUGGCCCCUGACCGGGGUUGCGGACAGUGUCUGGUGGGUAGUUUGACUGGGGCGGUCUCCUCCCAAAGCGUAACGGAGGAGCACGAAGGUUAGCUAAUCCUGGUCGGACAUCAGGAGGUUAGUGCAAUGGCAUAAGCUAGCUUGACUGCGAGCGUGACGGCGCGAGCAGGUGCGAAAGCAGGUCAUAGUGAUCCGGUGGUUCUGAAUGGAAGGGCCAUCGCUCAACGGAUAAAAGGUACUCCGGGGAUAACAGGCUGAUACCGCCCAAGAGUUCAUAUCGACGGCGGUGUUUGGCACCUCGAUGUCGGCUCAUCACAUCCUGGGGCUGAAGUAGGUCCCAAGGGUAUGGCUGUUCGCCAUUUAAAGUGGUACGCGAGCUGGGUUUAGAACGUCGUGAGACAGUUCGGUCCCUAUCUGCCGUGGGCGCUGGAGAAUUGAGGGGGGCUGCUCCUAGUACGAGAGGACCGGAGUGGACGCAUCACUGGUGUUCGGGUUGUCAUGCCAAUGGCACUGCCCGGUAGCUAAAUGCGGAAGAGAUAAGUGCUGAAAGCAUCUAAGCACGAAACUUGCCCCGAGAUGAGUUCUCCCUGAGACUUUAAGUCUCCUGAAGGAACGUUGAAGACGACGACGUUGAUAGGCCGGGUGUGUAAGCGCAGCGAUGCGUUGAGCUAACCGGUACUAAUGAACCGUGAGGCUUAACCUUACAACGCCGAAG
This 2923-nucleotide ribosomal RNA is filed under the name Klebsiella pneumoniae. RNAcentral's name for it is "bacterial LSU rRNA". It matches the Rfam family "Bacterial large subunit ribosomal RNA". Lineage: Bacteria; Pseudomonadati; Pseudomonadota; Gammaproteobacteria; Enterobacterales; Enterobacteriaceae. The record is from RNAcentral.